Molecule: ribosomal RNA, 263 nt
Filed under: uncultured bacterium
Lineage: Bacteria
Description: partial 16S ribosomal RNA
Rfam family: Bacterial small subunit ribosomal RNA
Source: RNAcentral
GUCCACGCCGUAAACGAUGUCAACUAGCCGUUGGAAGCCUUGAGCUUUUAGUGGCGCAGCUAACGCAUUAAGUUGACCGCCUGGGGAGUACGGCCGCAAGGUUAAAACUCAAAUGAAUUGACGGGGGCCCGCACAAGCGGUGGAGCAUGUGGUUUAAUUCGAAGCAACGCGAAGAACCUUACAAGGCCUUGACAUCCAAUGAACUUUCCAGAGAUGGAUUGGUGCCUUCGGGAACAUUGAGACAGGUGCUGCAUGGCUGUCGU